AUUCCUACGGGAGGCAGCAGUGGGGAAUAUUGGACAAUGGGCGAAAGCCUGAUCCAGCAACGCCGCGUGAGGGAUGACGGCCUUCGGGUUGUAAACCUCUUUCAGCGUGGACGAAGCGAAAGUGACGGUACCCGCAGAAGAAGCACCGGCCAACUACGUGCCAGCAGCCGCGGUAAUACGUAGGGUGCAAGCGUUGUCCGGAAUUAUUGGGCGUAAAGGGCUCGUAGGCGGUUUGUCACGUCGGGAGUGAAAACUCAGGGCUCAACCCUGAGCGUGCUUCCGAUACGGGCAGACUAGAGGCAUGCAGGGGAGAACGGAAUUCCUGGUGUAGCGGUGGAAUGCGCAGAUAUCAGGAGGAACACCGGUGGCGAAGGCGGUUCUCUGGGCAUUACCUGACGCUGAGGAGCGAAAGCAUGGGGAGCGAACAGGAUUAGAUACCCUGGUAGUCCAUGCCGUAAACGUUGGGCGCUAGGUGUGGGGACCUUCCACGGUCUCCGUGCCGCAGCUAACGCAUUAAGCGCCCCGCCUGGGGAGUACGGCCGCAAGGCUAAAACUCAAAGGAAUUGACGGGGGCCCGCACAAGCGGCGGAGCAUGCUGAUUAAUUCGAUGCAACGCGAAGAACCUUACCUGGGUUUGACAUAUACCGGAAAGCUGUAGAGAUACAGCCCCUUUUAGUCGGUAUACAGGUGGUGCAUGGCUGUCGUCAGCUCGUGUCGUGAGAUGUUGGGUUAAGUCCCGCAACGAGCGCAACCCUCGUUCUAUGUUGCCAGCACGUAAUGGUGGGGACUCAUAGGAGACUGCCGGGGUCAACUCGGAGGAAGGUGGGGAUGACGUCAAGUCAUCAUGCCCCUUAUGUCCAGGGCUUCAAGCAUGCUACAAUGGCCGGUACAAAGGGCUGCGAUACCGCAAGGUGGAGCGAAUCCCAAAAAGCCGGUCUCAGUUCGGAUUGGGGUCUGCAACUCGACCCCAUGAAGUCGGAGUCGCUAGUAAUCGCAGAUCAGCAACGCUGCGGUGAAUACGUUCCCGGGCCUUGUACACACCGCCAUCCAUAUG
This 1054-nucleotide ribosomal RNA is filed under the name uncultured Aeromicrobium sp. RNAcentral describes it as "bacterial SSU rRNA". It matches the Rfam family "Bacterial small subunit ribosomal RNA", at positions 335 to 1403 of the family's 1533-position model. Lineage: Bacteria; Bacillati; Actinomycetota; Actinomycetes; Propionibacteriales; Nocardioidaceae. The record is from RNAcentral.